AUUUUUUAUAUGUGGGACGGAUGCCUCCAAAAGAUUAACGGAGGUGUGUCAAGUAGGCUGAAGCUAAGAUUGUGAUUGUGAGCAUAAUGGCAUAAGCCUGACUGUGAGACAAACCAUUGUAACAGAGACAUAAGUUGACCAGAAUGAUCCGGAAGUCCCGUGUGGAAGGGCACUCACUCUAUGGAUCAAAGGUA
This 194-nucleotide ribosomal RNA is filed under the name Olea europaea subsp. europaea. RNAcentral describes it as "Bacterial large subunit ribosomal RNA". It matches the Rfam family "Bacterial large subunit ribosomal RNA", at positions 2263 to 2465 of the family's 2925-position model. Lineage: Eukaryota; Viridiplantae; Streptophyta; Magnoliopsida; Lamiales; Oleaceae. The record is from Rfam by way of RNAcentral.